UUUAUUAAAUUCACAAAAACAAGUCUGAAAAAAAUAGAAAAAAAGUGUAGUAGAAAUAGAAAGCUAUACGCACACAAUGCGGUGAAUAGAUGCGGUAUUUUCUGCAUGUGGGCGACUAAAAGUAUGCGAAGCCAAAAUAUUUCCAUCGCCAACAAAUCAACAAAACGCGGUACAAAGUGACCAGUGAGGCGUGAGAAAUAUGUGUGCGAUGUUCAAUCGAAAAUCAAACACAAAUGGGGGCUUAUGGAUGGAAAAUGCACCGCCGGAAAGGAUAGAAGCAGCUUUCUCCCAACAUAUUUUCCUAAAUUAGUGAAGUUUUUUAAAAUGCAUUUAUAACAGUACUUUUGAAAAUAUUUCUUUUCAAUUCUAACAUAUUCUACAUGUAAGUCUAUAUAAAAGCCCAAAAAUCCACAUCUGCACCACAUUCAAUGGGAAAAGCAAGCACACAUGAAGGUGGAAAAGAGACGGACUGUGCGUGACAGAGAUAGACAGUGAGCGAUCAGAAUUUUGGUGGCCGUGGAAAUUGCGUGCGAAAACGCGGUCAACCCAAAAGCGGGCAAUAGUAUUUGACAGUUUUUAUUGGCAAUGGUCAAGGGAAAACGAUGAAAAGCUCUAUGGAAGGGAAAAUUGCGAAAAAACAUGGAAUGGCAGCGGGGUGUGUGUAUGUGUGUGCGUAAACGAAAUUUUUUUUGUGAGCAUUUUUCAUUGAACUUUCAUUUCUGCAUUCCGCCUCUCCAUCCCUUUGUUUCAAAGUUCGUUGUCAGCUGUCGGUCACUUGGCAGUUAAUUAAAAACCAUCAAUUAUGUGAGCCAGCAAAAAUGGCCAACGCAAAAAAGAGUGUUCAAAAAGCUGACAAAAAAGUUGCUGAACAUUUUUUAAUUUAUGUUAAUUUCAGACAGGAAGCUUCAACCCGCUUACACUUUCGGGGCGGCUUCUUUUAAUUACACCCAUGAUAUUAAUCUGCUUAAGUGACCACAAAAAUGUUGCUCCUCACACUCACAAGGGAAGGGAAUGGAAGGGUAGGGGCCAGUUGGCUGAGCAGAAUGCCACGUUUAAUUGGGGGACCUCGUAGCGUUUAUUGUUAACAAGUUGGAAAAAAAAGCAGAAAGUGCAAAAAAAGUUUCGCUGGCACUGUGAGACUUCCUGCCAGCCAAACUCCUCCUUCAGAAGCCCCCACCAUCUGCUUUUUCAGAGAUGUGUAAUUACGCUUGUACAACAUGGCGUAUGCUUAAUAAUUUUCGGCACUCUUUCCUCUGCGUGUGCUUUACUAAUUUUUUUCUUUUCCCUUUUUUUUUAGUGGGUUGCUGAUGGAUAAGUACGCUCAAUGGCGGUAAUGAGGAAAAUUAUAGUUUUUCGUAACUGCUGUAGGAUGGGGAAUAUCUGCUUUUCCUGUUUGACUAAUGCUAUUUCUCAACAGCAUGUUUAGACCCAUUCUGGGCAUUUUGGGCCGAAACUGCCUGCGAGGGCUUUUCAAUUUCAGAUAAGCCCUUUGGUUGCGACCGCCCGCAUUGCGCCUAAAACAAAUUCGAUGCAAAUUCAAGUUGGACGCCAUCCAAUGUUUGCCGCAUUAUAGACAGACGACUAUGGACGGCGACUCCCCGGCAAACAGCGAAAUUGCAAUUCAAUUCAAUAUUCCAAACUAGGCAGAGAGAAAUGUGGCUUGUUUCGUGAUUUGGCACUUUAACCUCGCAACAGUAGCAACAAAAUUUUAAAUAAAACCCCCAAAACGAAAACAACUGACAAAAAAGUUUGGCUAGAACCCACAGCGGAAGCGAUAUAAUAGAAAAAGAUGGCAGGAAUAAUUUUCCUCCUUGUUUCCUCUUUUUUUUUAUGGUUUACCGCCAAAGUGUUUGGGUGGGGUAUGUGUGCGGUAUUCAGGGCCUAGAAAUCGAAAAAAGUAUUUCUAGAAAAGACAGUUGUCGUCUCAGCGUAACAACAAACGGAAGGUGGCAAUUUAAUAAAAUGCUUGAGUGAGUCGCCGAGUUUUGUUUCCUGCUUGGAUUUGGCUCACGCUUCUUUCCUCUUCGUACUACAAUUUUGCCUUUUUUUGGCCAAAAGUUCUUUUCGCAAAAGUGUUGCAUACUUUUUGGCAGGCGGAAAUCGCUAAAGAGGACAACCCUCAGAUUGGUUUACUUUUCUCCUUUGCCAUAGGUUUUGUUAUUCUCGAUUCUUCGACUGCCUUGUAUAAUGGCUUCUAAAAUGUCUUUUGCAGUGUGCUUUAGUCAAAGGCUUAAAGUAUCGUGGGAAUCGAAGCAGCCGUCGAACAGCAAAAUAACACGGAAUAUAUAUUGGUGCCGUAAAUACUUUUCCGGGAAGUGUUCUAUAUUGAUUAUAGGUUUCUCAUGAACGAAGUUAAAAGUUUUAGUCCGUGGUAUUCAUUCCUACCUAACAUCGUGCGCUGCUUUUAAUCAGUUUAGGAAUUUAUAUCUCGAACCUCAAGAUUUCCCCCGUUCGCACAAAGCUUCCUCCUCGCUCAAAAGUAAUACUCCGUAUUAAAGCGAGUCAAACAAUCAAACGAAUUAUCCCCAACGAUUUGUUUACCUUUGAUCUUUCAUCACAAAUUCAAUCAACGAUUGCAGCUUGCACAUAAAAUCCUCGCACCCACAGAAAGUGCUUUCCUGCAAAAAUCCCCUCAACCAUAAAUACCGAACAAAUGUCUUCUCAUUUCCACCUAAAUUGAAGCAAAGGGAAAAGGAAAAAUUGCAUUCAAAUUUUAUGACACUCUGCGACUGCGGAGCUUUUCCUCUCUGACCCUGGGCCGAAAACCCUCAACGAAAAAGGAGGAAACCCAGAAGGACAUAAAUACCUCAAGGAAGUGGAAAAAAGGAGGGGAAACAAAGGGAAUAUUGUCUAAGGGGAAAAAGUGCAUAAUAACAGCGAUUUGCAUUACGUUAAGUAAAAAAAAGGUUGGCAAACGAGACAACAGCAAAAUGUGCAAGCAAAUCAAAUGAGUAAGCAAAAGUGGAAAGCGGGGGGGAAAGUGGGAAAAGGGGGAAGGUGAGAAAAGCUGCAACGUGGUAAUCAGAGCAAUUUACAUGCAAGCAAACUUCAAACAGACAACGAGGAAAA
This is a long non-coding RNA of Drosophila yakuba, 3069 nucleotides long. RefSeq lists it as uncharacterized. The transcript has 2 exons. NCBI's taxonomy places the organism in Eukaryota, Metazoa, Arthropoda, Insecta, Diptera, Drosophilidae. The record is from RefSeq and is a predicted model, not a curated record.